UGUCCAGGGGCGGGAAUCGAACCCACAACGUUCCGCCUACCGGGCAGAUGCCAUGUCCACUAGGCUACCCUAGGC
Molecule: transfer RNA, 75 nt
Filed under: Cordylochernes scorpioides
Lineage: Eukaryota; Metazoa; Arthropoda; Arachnida; Pseudoscorpiones; Chernetidae
Description: tRNA-Thr
Source: RNAcentral